AUCGAUUCCUGCAUGGUCUCAGAGCAUAAAGUGGGCCGGGUGAGGGCAGAAGCAGGACACCAGAGGCAAAAAGAAGAAGAGUUUGUGGGGAAACCCAGUGCAGAGCCUGGGUGCUGAGAGGGAUGGCAUAAUGGAAGUAGGAGAUGGUAGUGUUUGUGGUUCUGCUACCUCCCUGUUUACACUUCUUACCUCCUCUACCUGGAGUAGGAUUCCCCAGUGAACAAACUGCUCUAUGCCCGGGAGAUCCCUCGCUACAAGCAGAUGGUGGAGAAGUACUAUGCGGACAUUCGCCAGAGCUCUCCAGCGAGCUAUCAAGAG
This 318-nucleotide long non-coding RNA is filed under the name Rattus norvegicus (Norway rat). Its description in RNAcentral is "long non-coding RNA NONRATT002891". Lineage: Eukaryota; Metazoa; Chordata; Mammalia; Rodentia; Muridae. The record is from RNAcentral.